Molecule: long non-coding RNA, 372 nt
Filed under: Mus musculus (house mouse)
Lineage: Eukaryota; Metazoa; Chordata; Mammalia; Rodentia; Muridae
Description: predicted gene, 32885
Source: RNAcentral
CGUGAACCAGCGUGGCCUUAACCAGCCAUAGUUAUGAUAUUAUAAGACCUGUGGGUGUCUGCCUGACCUGUAGUCUGAAGAUGCUCUUUCUGAAGUCUUAGGAGGGCCCCUCAGUGAGGAUGCCCGAAGCUGAAGGCUUUACUUCUGUUUCAAGAGGAUCCAAGCGGCUCCCAGCACCCACGCCAGGUGGCUCCCAAGGACGUGUAACUUCCCUUCCAGGGGAUCCAGGUACACAAUGCAGACGCAACAUAUAAUCAAAAAAAUAUAGAUGUAUAAAAAGAAGCUGAGGCUAGCUCCUUCUCCCCACGCUCCUUCCCUCCCAACGGGAAUGGCAGGGGCUUCUCUCAAACCUACUUUACAUGUACUGCAGCC